RNAcentral lists this ribosomal RNA (224 nucleotides) under uncultured bacterium. Its description in RNAcentral is "partial 16S ribosomal RNA". It matches the Rfam family "Bacterial small subunit ribosomal RNA", at positions 15 to 230 of the family's 1533-position model. The record is from RNAcentral.
GAUCAUGGCUCAGGAUGAACGCUAGCUACAGGCUUAACACAUGCAAGUCGAGGGGCAGCAUGGUCUUAGCUUGCUAAGGCCGAUGGCGACCGGCGCACGGGUGAGCAACACGUAUCCAACCUGCCGUCUACUCUUGGACAGCCUCCUGAAAGGAAGAUUAAUACAAGAUGGCAUCAUGAGUCCGCAUGUUCACAUGAUUAAAGGUAUUCCGGUAGACGAUGGGG